CCUACGGGUGGCAGCAGUGGGGAAUAUUGCGCAAUGGGGGGAACCCUGACGCAGCAACGCCGCGUGAAGGAUGAAGGCCCUCGGGUUGUAAACUUCUUUGAUUGGGGAAGAAAUUUGACGGUACCCAAAGAACAAGCCACGGCUAACUACGUGCCAGCAGCCGCGGUAAUACGUAGGUGGCGAGCGUUGUCCGGAAUUACUGGGUGUAAAGGGCGUGUAGGCGGGGAUGCAAGUCAGAUGUGAAAUUCCGGGGCUCAACCCCGGCACUGCAUCUGAAACUGUGUCUCUUGAGUGCUGGAGAGGAAAGUGGAAUUCCUAGUGUAGCGGUGAAAUGCGUAGAGAUUAGGAGGAACACCAGUGGCGAAGGCGACUUUCUGGACUGUAACUGACGCUGAGGCACGAAAGCGUGGGGAGCGAACAGGAUUAGAUACCCUAGUAGUC
This 441-nucleotide ribosomal RNA is filed under the name uncultured bacterium. RNAcentral's name for it is "bacterial SSU rRNA". It matches the Rfam family "Bacterial small subunit ribosomal RNA", at positions 338 to 795 of the family's 1533-position model. The record is from RNAcentral.